RNAcentral lists this ribosomal RNA (833 nucleotides) under [Neocosmospora] aquatica. Its description in RNAcentral is "Neocosmospora sp. DB-2022a partial large subunit ribosomal RNA". It matches the Rfam family "Eukaryotic large subunit ribosomal RNA", at positions 87 to 952 of the family's 3401-position model. Lineage: Eukaryota; Fungi; Ascomycota; Sordariomycetes; Hypocreales; Nectriaceae. The record is from RNAcentral.
CGGCGAGUGAAGCGGCAACAGCUCAAAUUUGAAAUCUGGCUCUCGGGCCCGAGUUGUAAUUUGUAGAGGAUGCUUUUGGUGAGGUGCCUUCCGAGUUCCCUGGAACGGGACGCCAUAGAGGGUGAGAGCCCCGUCUGGUUGGACGCCGAACCUCUGUAAAGCUCCUUCGACGAGUCGAGUAGUUUGGGAAUGCUGCUCUAAAUGGGAGGUAUAUGUCUUCUAAAGCUAAAUACCGGCCAGAGACCGAUAGCGCACAAGUAGAGUGAUCGAAAGAUGAAAAGAACUUUGAAAAGAGAGUUAAACAGUACGUGAAAUUGUUGAAAGGGAAGCGCUUGUGACCAGACUUGGGCUUGGUUGAUCAUCCGGGGUUCUCCCCGGUGCACUCUUCCGGCCCAGGCCAGCAUCAGUUCGCCCUGGGGGACAAAGGCUUCGGGAACGUGGCUCUCUCCGGGGAGUGUUAUAGCCCGUUGCGUAAUACCCUGUGGCGGACUGAGGUUCGCGCAUUCGCAAGGAUGCUGGCGUAAUGGUCAUCAGUGACCCGUCUUGAAACACGGACCAAGGAGUCGUCUUCGUAUGCGAGUGUUCGGGUGUCAAACCCCUACGCGAAAUGAAAGUGAACGCAGGUGAGAGCUUCGGCGCAUCAUCGACCGAUCCUGAUGUUAUCGGAUGGAUUUGAGUAAGAGCAUACGGGGCCGGACCCGAAAGAAGGUGAACUAUGCCUGUGUAGGGUGAAGCCAGAGGAAACUCUGGUGGAGGCUCGCAGCGGUUCUGACGUGCAAAUCGAUCGUCAAACAUGGGCAUGGGGGCGAAAGACUAAUCGAACCUCUAGAACU